This 67-nucleotide transfer RNA is filed under the name Nabis apicalis. RNAcentral's name for it is "tRNA-Asn". The record is from RNAcentral. Lineage: Eukaryota; Metazoa; Arthropoda; Insecta; Hemiptera; Nabidae.
UUAAUAGAAACCAAAAUAGAGGCAUCUUAUUGUUAAUAAGAAUAUUGGUUAAUUUAACCCUAUUAAA